AGCUUUGCGCAGUGGCAGUAUCAUAGCCAAUGAGGUUUAUCCGAGGUGCAAUUAUUGCUAAUUGAAAACUUUUCCCAAUACCCCACCAUGACGACUUGAAAAAGAAAAUUCU
Molecule: small nuclear RNA, 112 nt
Filed under: Peromyscus maniculatus bairdii (prairie deer mouse)
Lineage: Eukaryota; Metazoa; Chordata; Mammalia; Rodentia; Cricetidae
Description: U4 spliceosomal RNA (ENSPEMG00000004147.2)
Rfam family: U4 spliceosomal RNA
About the family: U4 small nuclear RNA (U4 snRNA) is a component of the major U2-dependent spliceosome.
Source: Rfam by way of RNAcentral